This 569-nucleotide ribosomal RNA is filed under the name Cryptorhynchinae gen. sp. ARC4855. RNAcentral describes it as "SSU rRNA". It matches the Rfam family "Eukaryotic small subunit ribosomal RNA", at positions 33 to 581 of the family's 1831-position model. The record is from RNAcentral. Lineage: Eukaryota; Metazoa; Arthropoda; Insecta; Coleoptera; Curculionidae.
GUCUUGUUCAAAGAUUAAGCCAUGCAUGUCUCAGUACAAGCCAAAUUAAGGUGAAACCGCGAAAGGCUCAUUAAAUCAGUUAUGGUUCCUUAGAUCGUACCCACAAUUACUUGGAUAACUGUGGUAAUUCUAGAGCUAAUACAUGCAAACAGAGCUCCGACCGGAGACGGAAGGAGUGCUUUUAUUAGAUCAAAACCAAUCGGUGGCGGGCUCGUCAUCGUACAACUUGGUGACUCUGAAUAACUUUACGCUGAUCGCACGGUCAUCGCACCGGCGACGCAUCUUUCAAAUGUCUGCCUUAUCAACUGUCGAUGGUAGGUUCUGCGCCUACCAUGGUUGUAACGGGUAACGGGGAAUCAGGGUUCGAUUCCGGAGAGGGAGCCUGAGAAACGGCUACCACAUCCAAGGAAGGCAGCAGGCGCGCAAAUUACCCACUCCCGGCACGGGGAGGUAGUGACGAAAAAUAACGAUACGGGACUCAUCCGAGGCCCCGUAAUCGGAAUGAGUACACUCUAAACCCUUUAACGAGGAUCAAUUGGAGGGCAAGUCUGGUGCCAGCAGCCGCGGUA